RNAcentral lists this ribosomal RNA (811 nucleotides) under uncultured bacterium. RNAcentral describes it as "bacterial SSU rRNA". It matches the Rfam family "Bacterial small subunit ribosomal RNA", at positions 62 to 882 of the family's 1533-position model. The record is from RNAcentral.
UCGACGGUGACGGAGGAGCUUGCUCCCCCUGAUCAGUGGCGAACGGGUGAGUAACACGUGAGUAACCUGCCCCAGACUCUGGGAUAACAUCGGGAAACCGGUGCUAAUACCGGAUAUGAGACGAGACUGCAUGGUCAUCGUCUGGAAAGAUUUAUCGGUCUGGGAUGGACUCGCGGCCUAUCAGCUAGUUGGUGAGGUAAUGGCUCACCAAGGCGACGACGGGUAGCCGGCCUGAGAGGGCGACCGGCCACACUGGAACUGAGACACGGUCCAGACUCCUACGGGAGGCAGCAGUGGGGAAUAUUGCACAAUGGGCGCAAGCCUGAUGCAGCAACGCCGCGUGGGGGAUGAAGGCCUUCGGGUUGUAAACCCCUUUUAGCAGGGAAGAAGCGAAAGUGACGGUACCUGCAGAAAAAGCGCCGGCUAACUACGUGCCAGCAGCCGCGGUAAUACGUAGGGCGCAAGCGUUGUCCGGAAUUAUUGGGCGUAAAGAGCUCGUAGGCGGUUUGUCGCGUCUGCUGUGAAAGUCCGAGGCUCAACCUCGGAUCUGCAGUGGGUACGGGCAGACUAGAGUGUGGUAGGGGAGACUGGAAUUCCUGGUGUAGCGGUGGAAUGCGCAGAUAUCAGGAGGAACACCAAUGGCGAAGGCAGGUCUCUGGGCCAUAACUGACGCUGAGGAGCGAAAGCGUGGGGAGCGAACAGGAUUAGAUACCCUGGUAGUCCACGCCGUANACGGUGGGCACUAGAUGUGGGGCNCUUUCCAUGAGUUCCGCGUCGCAGCUAACGCAUUAAGUGCCCCGCCUGGGGAGUA